UAUUUUCUUGGAAACAGUAGGAGGAUAAACUCAAAGAGAAAAUCUCUAAAAAAUAAUGAGUCACAGCACCUAUACACCUAUUUAAGAUGAGCCAGUAUAUGUAGUAACUCCUCCACUUCGUAGAUCUAGUAGGAUCUUCCAUCUUUUAGAAAGGUACUUAGUAUUCUUACAAUGGAUUAAGAGAAAGUAUUUCUUGAGGA
RNAcentral lists this long non-coding RNA (200 nucleotides) under Elaeis guineensis (African oil palm). RNAcentral describes it as "long non-coding RNA (EGUI_LNC055535)". Lineage: Eukaryota; Viridiplantae; Streptophyta; Magnoliopsida; Arecales; Arecaceae. The record is from RNAcentral.